This 744-nucleotide long non-coding RNA is filed under the name Eucalyptus grandis. Its description in RNAcentral is "long non-coding RNA (EGRA_LNC004160)". Lineage: Eukaryota; Viridiplantae; Streptophyta; Magnoliopsida; Myrtales; Myrtaceae. The record is from RNAcentral.
CUCGCAACUUCAUCGCACAUCUUUCACGCUCUGUUUCGGUCAAAACAGGGAAAAUGCAGAACAUCGGGGGCGAGGGACCUACCUGAUCGGCUUCAGAGACGUCGACGGGAAGGUCGUUGGGCGGACCAUAGAUGCUGCAGAUUCCCUUCAGGCGUUCGGACUUCUCCCUUCCUCGGAUGGCCUUUUCUUGGUCUUCAACUCCCUCUCUAGAGCCAGCCGCUCUCCGGUUUCAGAUGAAGAGAACUAACUGGCUUUGAUUAGACUAUGAAGAGCUUUUGCCCUGCCACCUUUCAAAGUAAUAUGUCAAAGUAAAGUUGAGAUUGCGGCAAGGAGACUAUGGGAGUUCUCUCUGAGGAACUUGUUACUAAUCCAAUAUACACGAGGCAAAAUAAUCUAGGAAUUCCUGUCGAAAUUCGUUAUACAAAAUUCCGGGGCAGGUUGCAUAACAGAACGGAUUAAAGAAAUUCGCAAUCUCGCCUAAGGCAAUACUCAAUGCGGACAAGCUAUCCAUGAAAAACAAUGUUAAUGAUAUCUGAAUGUGGAAAAUGCAAACGCAAAGCCGUGCAAUGUGGAUAUUUUUUUGACAGAUUCAAAUAAUGAUUUUAUGUGAAGUGCAAGACAUACUUUUGGGUGAAAAAAUUUAGGUGUCAUGAGGGUGUUCAAAUGAAUUGAAAGUUGGGUGUGGGAUCAGUUGGUCUCUUAACUCACCUUCAACACUAACCAUCUCUUUUUACCAUUCUUCUG